CGGGGCCGUGGGUGGGUGCUGUUUCUCACUUCAGUCCUGUGGUUAUUCUGUCUCAUCGCCAGACCCUGAAGAUCUUGAAGGGACAAAGGUCUAAGCAUCCUGUUCACUGCAGCAGAGCGUCUGCCCCGAGAAUGAUGUGAGGAGCCCGUAAACAAGCUUUACUUCUCCUGCACCACUGAUGGACAGCAUCGUGGCAGCAUGUAUCAAAGUGAAAAAUCCUUACAAUGCUAGUAUCAAUCCUCACAAGCUUUCACAAGGUGUAAAUGAGAUGAUCCCAAGAAGAGUUUUCUCAGGGCCUGGCACAGAAUAAAUGUG
Kogia breviceps (pygmy sperm whale) is the source of this 315-nucleotide non-coding RNA. The record is from RefSeq and is a predicted model, not a curated record. NCBI's taxonomy places the organism in Eukaryota, Metazoa, Chordata, Mammalia, Artiodactyla, Physeteridae.